UAAUAGCGUAUAUUAAUGUUGUUGCAGUUAAAAAGCUCGUAGUUGGAUUUUGGAGUUUGACAAGUGGUCUGCCUAAGGUGUGUACUGCUUGUCGGCUCUUCUUUUCUGGGGACCACGCUGCUCUUUAUUGAGGGGUGCUGGGAAUCAGAUCUUUUACUUUGAAAAAUUAGAGUGUUCAAAGCAGGCCCACGCAUUGAAUACAUUAGCAUGGAAUAAUGGAAUAGGACUUUGGUCUUAUUUUGUUGGUUUCUAAGGCCGAGGUAAUGAUUAAUAGGGAUAGUUGGGGGCGUUUAUAUUCCAUUGUCAGAGGUGAAAUUCUCAGACCAAUGGAAGACGAACCACUGCGAAAGCAUUUGCCAGGGAUGUUUUCACUGAUCAAGAACGAAAGUUAGGGGAUCGAAGACGAUCAGAUACCAU
This 417-nucleotide ribosomal RNA is filed under the name uncultured eukaryote. RNAcentral describes it as "bacterial SSU rRNA". It matches the Rfam family "Eukaryotic small subunit ribosomal RNA", at positions 592 to 1018 of the family's 1831-position model. The record is from RNAcentral.